GUGCAAGUUGUUAAGGGCGCACGGUGGAUGCCUUGGCACCAGGAGCCGAUGAAGGACGUGGGAGGCUGCGAUAAGCCUCGGGGAGCUGCCAACCGAGCUGUGAUCCGAGGGUGUCCGAAUGGGGAAACCCGGCUGGGGUCAUGCCCAGUCACCGUCAUCUGAAUUCAUAGGGUGGCGGAGGUAACGCGGGGAAGUGAAACAUCUCAGUACCCGCAGGAAGAGAAAACAACGGUGAUUCCGUGAGUAGUGGCGAGCGAAAGCGGAAGAGGCUAAACCUAUCGCGUGGAGAAGCUGGCAGGCGUUGCGCGGUGGGGGUUGUGGGAGCAUCCAGCUGGCUCUGCCAGGCCAGCGGGGAGUAAGAAACCGGUGUGGUAGUCGAACAGCCUGGAACGGUUGACCGUAGAGGGUGACAGUCCCGUAGGUGGAACUGCGCCGGCUCCCGGGUGUUGUCCCAAGUAGCACGGGGCCCGAGGAAUCCCGUGUGAAUCUGGCAGGACCACCUGCUAAGCCUAAAUACUCCCUGGUGACCGAUAGUGCACGAGUACCGUGAGGGAAAGGUGAAAAGUACCCCGGGAGGGGAGUGAAAGAGUACCUGAAACCGUGUGCCUACAAGCCGUGGGAGCCUUGCCUGCCGUGUUGACGGUGGGGUGGGGUGACUGCGUGCCUUUUGAAGAAUGAGCCUGCGAGUUAGUGGUGCGUGGCGAGGUUAACCCGUGUGGGGUAGCCGUAGCGAAAGCGAGUCCGAACAGGGCGUUGAGUCGCGUGCCCUAGACCCGAAGCGGGGUGAUCUACCCAUGGGCAGGGUGAAGCGCGGGUAAGACCGCGUGGAGGCCCGAACCCACCAGGGUUGAAAACCUGGGGGAUGACCUGUGGGUAGGGGUGAAAGGCCAAUCAAACUCCGUGAUAGCUGGUUCUCCCCGAAAUGCAUUUAGGUGCAGCGUCGUGUGUUUCGUGCCGGAGGUAGAGCACUGGAUGGCCUAGGGGGCCUACCAGCUUACCGAAGUCAGCCAAACUCCGAAUGCCGGUACGUGAGAGCACGGCAGUGAGACUGCGGGGGAUAAGCUCCGUGGUCGAGAGGGAAACAGCCCAGAGCACCAGCUAAGGCCCCUAAGCGUGCGCUAAGUGGUAAAGGAUGUGGAGUCGCACAGACAACCAGGAGGUUGGCUUAGAAGCAGCCACCCUUGAAAGAGUGCGUAAUAGCUCACUGGUCGAGUGAUUCCGCGCCGACAAUGUAGCGGGGCUCAAGCGCACCGCCGAAGCUGUGUCACUCACAUGUGAACCCAGGCCGUGGCGACACGGUCCAGGGGUGUGGGUGGGUAGGGGAGCGUCAUGCCGCGGGUGAAGCGGUGGAGUGAUCCAAUCGUGGACGCGGCGUGAGUGAGAAUGCAGGCAUGAGUAGCGAAAGACGAGUGGGAAACUCGUCCGCCGAAUGACCAAGGGUUCCUGGGCCAGGCUAAUCCGCCCAGGGUAAGUCGGGACCUAAGGCGAGGCCGCGAGGCGUAGUCGAUGGACAACGGGUUGAUAUUCCCGUACCCGUCACGGUGCGCCAGCGCCGAACCCACCGAGACUAACCACCCGAGCCCGGGGUUCUCUUCGGAGGGCCCGCGGGGGAGGCUGGGACCUGAGGUGGUAGUAGGUGAGCGAUGGGGUGACGCAGGAAGGUAGUCCAUCCCGGGCGGUGGUUGUCCCGGGGUAAGGCUGUAGGCUGCGGGGUAGGCAAAUCCGCCCCGCGUGACGGCUGAGAGCUGAUGCCGAGCCUUUCGAGGCGAAGUGGAUGAUCCUAUGCUGCCGAGAAAAGCCUCUAGCGAGUGCCGUGGCGGCCCGUACCCCAAACCGACUCAGGUGGUCAGGUAGAGAAUACCGAGGCGAUCGGGUGAACCGUGGUUAAGGAACUCGGCAAAAUGCCCCCGUAACUUCGGGAGAAGGGGGGCCCUGUCCGGUGAAGGAGCGUGCCUCCGGAGCUGGGUGGGGUCGCAGAGGCCAGGGAGAAGCGACUGUUUACUAAAAACACAGGUCCGUGCCAAGCCGUAAGGCGCAGUAUACGGACUGACGCCUGCCCGGUGCUGGAACGUUAAGGGGACGGGUUAGCCGCUCUUCGGGGUGGCGAAGCUCAGAACUUAAGCGCCAGUAAACGGCGGUGGUAACUAUAACCAUCCUAAGGUAGCGAAAUUCCUUGUCGGGUAAGUUCCGACCUGCACGAAUGGCGUAACGACUUCUCCGCUGUCUCAACCACGGACCCGGCGAAAUUGCACUACGAGUAAAGAUGCUCGUUACGCGCAGCAGGACGGAAAGACCCCGGGACCUUUACUACAGCUUGAUAUUGGUGCUCGGUUCGGCUUGUGUAGGAUAGGUGGGAGCCUGUGAAGCCCGGACGCCAGUUCGGGUGGAGGCAUCGUUGAAAUACCACUCUGGUCGAAUUGGGUGUCUAACCCGGGCCCCUGAUCGGGGUCGGGGACAGUGUCUGGCGGGUAGUUUAACUGGGGCGGUUGCCUCCUAAAAGGUAACGGAGGCGCUCAAAGGUUCCCUCAGCCUGGUUGGCAAUCAGGUGUCGAGUGCAAGCGCACAAGGGAGCUUGACUGUGAGACCGACGGGUCGAGCAGGAGCGAAAGCUGGAGCUAGUGAUCCGGCGGUGGCUUGUGGAAGCGCCGUCGCUCAACGGAUAAAAGGUACCCCGGGGAUAACAGGCUGAUCUUCCCCAAGAGUCCAUAUCGACGGGAUGGUUUGGCACCUCGAUGUCGGCUCGUCGCAUCCUGGGGCUGGAGUCGGUCCCAAGGGUUGGGCUGUUCGCCCAUUAAAGCGGUACGCGAGCUGGGUUUAGAACGUCGUGAGACAGUUCGGUCCCUAUCCGCUGCGCGCGUAGGAGACUUGAGAAGGGCUGUCCCUAGUACGAGAGGACCGGGACGGACGAACCUCUGGUGUGCCAGUUGUCCCGCCAGGGGCAUGGCUGGUUAGCUACGUUCGGGAAGGAUAACCGCUGAAAGCAUCUAAGCGGGAAGCCUGCUUCAAGAUGAGGUCUCCCACCGGCUGUGGCCGGGUAAGGCCCCCAGGUAGACGACUGGGUUGAUAGGCCCGAGGUGGAAGCACCGCAAGGUGUGGAGCUGACGGGUACUAAUAGGCCGAGGACUUGCCUAC
The sequence is a ribosomal RNA, 3132 nucleotides long. It matches the Rfam family "Bacterial large subunit ribosomal RNA". The record is from Rfam.